CUUUCAUGUACAAUUGCACUUUGUUUUACCGAUGCAUACAUUCAAUUAAAAUCCUUUGAGAUCACCUGCCUGGCAGGUAGAUAGAUCAAAGCAAUCGAUUUCAUUGUAUGUAAUACAAUGUGUAGUGUCAGAUAGAUCCGAGAUUGAUUUACAAAGCGAAUCAAGACAUAACACGUGACAAAACAUCAAGAAACAGUAUGACAUCCAAAUCGAUUCAUUAUUUUGUAAAACACAAAUAUUAUUAUGAUUUUACAAGUGGCUAAAUAUUGGCAAAAUACAGUAACGAGCAAGUUCUUUUCGUUUCGUUACAUGUAAAAUGAAUUUAACGC
Molecule: long non-coding RNA, 329 nt
Filed under: Mytilus galloprovincialis (Mediterranean mussel)
Lineage: Eukaryota; Metazoa; Mollusca; Bivalvia; Mytilida; Mytilidae
Source: RNAcentral